RNAcentral lists this ribosomal RNA (482 nucleotides) under uncultured bacterium. RNAcentral describes it as "partial 16S ribosomal RNA". It matches the Rfam family "Bacterial small subunit ribosomal RNA", at positions 30 to 507 of the family's 1533-position model. The record is from RNAcentral.
AUUGAACGCUGGCGGCAUGCUUUACACAUGCAAGUCGAACGGUAACAGGCCGCAAGGUGCUGACGAGUGGCGAACGGGUGAGUAAUGCAUCGGAACGUGCCCAGUCGUGGGGGAUAACUACUCGAAAGAGUAGCUAAUACCGCAUACGAUCUAUGGAUGAAAGCGGGGGACCGUAAGGCCUCGCGCGAUUGGAGCGGCCGAUGUCAGAUUAGGUAGUUGGUGGGGUAAAGGCUCACCAAGCCAACGAUCUGUAUCUGGUCUGAGAGGACAACCAGCCACACUGGGACUGAGACACGGCCCAGGCUCCUACGGGAGGCAGCAGUGGGGAAUUUUGGACAAUGGGCGCAAGCCCGAUCCAGCAAUGCCGCGUGCAGGAAGAAGGCCUUCGGGUUGUAAACUGCUUUUGUACGGAACGAAACGGCUCUGGUUAAUACCCGGGGCUAAUGACGGUACCGUAAGAAUAAGCACCGGCUAACUACGUG